UAACCUACUCUUGGUAUUCAGUACUGCUUAGCAGCUGACAGUGAUUAUUAUUUAUUUCUUUGCCACCGUCUUUUCAUUAAAUUAUUAGGCUGCUGCAACACCAGCAGAGAAGAGUAUGGGAGACACAGUGUAGUAUUCAGUCUGCUCCAAAGCUCCAGAGUUACAGUUUUCCCUGUAUUCAUCACUCAGGAAUUGCUGGCAUCUGCACUCUAAACUGCAGAAGGCUUUAUCACCUCUG
RNAcentral lists this unclassified non-coding RNA (238 nucleotides) under Hevea brasiliensis (rubber tree). Lineage: Eukaryota; Viridiplantae; Streptophyta; Magnoliopsida; Malpighiales; Euphorbiaceae. The record is from RNAcentral.